CACGUAGGGGACGAGCGUUGUCCGGAUUCAUUGGGCGUAAAGCGCGCGUAGGCGGCUCGGAAAGUCGGUCGUGAAAUGCCGGGGCUCAACCCCGGGACUGCGUCCGAUACUCCCGAGCUGGAGGCAGGUAGGGGAGAUCGGAAUUCCUGGUGUAGCGGUGAAAUGCGCAGAUAUCAGGAGGAACACCGGUGGCGAAGGCGGGUCUCUGGGCCGAAAUUGACGCUGAGGAGCGAAAGCGUGGGGAGCAAACAGG
This 253-nucleotide ribosomal RNA is filed under the name uncultured bacterium. Its description in RNAcentral is "partial 16S ribosomal RNA". It matches the Rfam family "Bacterial small subunit ribosomal RNA", at positions 524 to 776 of the family's 1533-position model. The record is from RNAcentral.